GAUGAACGCUAGCUACAGGCUUAACACAUGCAAGUCGAGGGGAAACGACAUCGAAAGCUUGCUUUUGAUGGGCGUCGACCGGCGCACGGGUGAGUAACGCGUAUCCAACCUGCCCAUCACUUGGGAAUAACCUUGCGAAAGUAAGACUAAUACCCAAUGAUAUCCCACGAAGGCAUCGGAAUGGGAUUAAAGAUUUAUCGGUGAUGGAUGGGGAUGCGUCUGAUUAGCUUGUUGGCGGGGUAACGGCCCACCAAGGCAACGAUCAGUAGGGGUUCUGAGAGGAAGGUCCCCCACAUUGGAACUGGGACACCGUCCAAACUCCUACGGGAGGCAGCAGUGAGGAAUAUUGGUCAAUGGGCGAGAGCCUGAACCAGCCAAGUAGCGUGCAGGAAGACGGCCCUAUGGGUUGUAAACUGCUUUUAUAAGGGAAUAAAGUGGGUCACGUGUGACUUUUUGCAUGUACCUUAUGAAUAAGGACCGGCUAAUUCCGUG
This 492-nucleotide ribosomal RNA is filed under the name uncultured bacterium. RNAcentral describes it as "partial 16S ribosomal RNA". It matches the Rfam family "Bacterial small subunit ribosomal RNA", at positions 28 to 507 of the family's 1533-position model. The record is from RNAcentral.